CCUACGGGGGGCUGCAGUCGAGAAUCUUCCACAAUGGACGUAAGUCUGAUGGAGCGACACCGCGUGAUGGAAGAAGAGCUUCGGCUCGUAAACAUCUUUUAUGAGGGAAAAAGUUUAUUGAUGGUACCUCAUGAAUAAGGACCUGCAAAACUCGUGCCAGCAGCAGCGGUAAUACGAGUGGUUCAAGCGUUAUCCGGAAUUAUUGGGCGUAAAGGGUCUGUAGGUGGCUUAAUUAGUCUUUUGUUAAAUCUUCGAGCUCAACUUGAAGUCUGCAAGAGAAACGGUUAAGCUAGAAUAUAUUAGAGGUGAGCGGAACUCAUAGUGUAAGAGUGAAAUCUGUUGAUAUUAUGGGGAACACCAAAAGCGAAGGCAGCUCACUGGGAUAUUAUUGACACUGAAAGACGAAAGCGUGGGUAGCGAAUGGGAUUAGAUACCCCAGUAGUC
Molecule: ribosomal RNA, 444 nt
Filed under: uncultured bacterium
Lineage: Bacteria
Description: bacterial SSU rRNA
Rfam family: Bacterial small subunit ribosomal RNA
Source: RNAcentral